This is a long non-coding RNA of Gallus gallus (chicken), 1554 nucleotides long. The record is from Ensembl. Lineage: Eukaryota; Metazoa; Chordata; Aves; Galliformes; Phasianidae.
AGGAGUUCAGGGAGCAUUUGGGCCGCGCUCUCAUAUAGGUUGUCUGGUUUUUGAAUAGUUCUGUAUGGAAUCAAAAUCUGGACUUGAUGAUCCUUAAGGAAAGAAAAAACUAUUCUCGGUCACAAGAUGUCCUCUUUUCCCUUUCUGCUCAUCUGCAGUGUGUGCUCCCUAACUACCUUGCCUUCAGCAUUAGGAGUGAUGUGCUUCUCAAUAGCUGGUUGUGUACCUGUAACACAGACGAGGAACCAAAUAUGAAUAGUCUCUUUGAUUUGUCUGUGUGUGCAUAAUACUCUUUCUCUGUCCUUUCUGUGUGUACCAGUUCCUCCACCUUAUUGAUGAGAAAGUCACAAAGAUUUCAUGCUGCAGUGGUUAAAAAGACAAACUACAUUGGAUAAAACGAUCCAGUACAAAUAAAAUAACCAGUACAGAGGAACUGUGAGAAGCUUUCCAGGCAAUGAAGCUCUUGACACAGAAUCAUAGAAUCAUAGAAUGAUUUGAGUUGGAAGGGACCUUUAAGAUCAUCUAGUUCCAACCCCCCUGCUAUAGCCAGGACACCUUCCACUAGACAACUACAUUGCUCUAAGACCUGUCCCACCUAAUCUUGAAUGUGUCCAGGGAGGUAUCAUCCACAACCUCUCUGGGCAAAUUAAUAUGCACAAUUAACAUUCUGAUUUGCUAUUCCAUUUGAAGUAUUUUCAUUACAUGUAUUUAUUAUUUACACAUAAUCAAUUUUCAUGAUUCUGACUUGAAUUCUUCCCUUAAACAAUUAGCAAUUUGACCCUUUCACUUUCUUCCUAGAAGUUAUAUGUGAAAAAAAACCCCACCAUUAACUAUGAAAUUUAUAUUCCUAAAUUGAAAAAAAAAUGAUGACUUUCUGCGUAUUUUCUGUCAAGUCCAUUUUACAACUUAAGUAAAAUCCUCCUGCUCUUUUACUGGAAAUUAGCAAAUAUGCUCUGGAUGCAGAAGAGAGUGUUACUGAGGGCAGUAAGAGUUUGAUCUGGUUAGAAAUUUUCAAAUGCUCUUCAGAAGAGGCAGAUUUAUCAGAACUGAAACUUAACAAAACUGUUAGAUUUGUAUGGCAAAAAUAACUUCCCAGAUUGAACUGUCAGAGAUAAUCAAAUUGCAUCACUUUUUAGGAUAGAUUUAAUAGUCAUAACAUUCAUAGGUAAUGUAGAUGACUCAUUCAUCUCUGUUUUGUGCAUGGUUCAAAUUUGAAGCUUUAAAUUAUUUUUCCUCUGGGCUAUUAAUUACUUAUAAUUUCCUUUGAUUUGCCCUGCUAAAAUUCCAAUGGACACUAACAUAUAUUUCAACGAGAACAUGGGCAUGCCCUGAGCUGAAGGCAUGUGGUAUUCUCUCUGGACUAGUGAAUUAGACUUUGUUGCAGGAAUAAAUACUAAACAGCUAGUAAGAGUUUACUGACCUUACUGAAAUAAGGAUGGUUUUAGAUUAUACUUUGUGUUUCACAGUACAAAAUAAGGAGACGAUUACUUGAAAUAGUAUUUUCAUGAAAUAUGUUCAAGGAUUGGAAUGUGAAUAAACAGAAACAAUCACUGG